UGGGGAAUUUUGCGCAAUGGAGGCAACUCUGACGCAGCAACGCCGCGUGCGGGAUGAAGGCCCUCGGGUUGUAAACCGCUUUCAGCAGGGAAGACUUCGACUGUACCUGCAGAAGAAGCCCCGGCUAACUACGUGCCAGCAGCCGCGGUAAUACGUAGGGGGCGAGCGUUAUCCGGAUUCAUUGGGCGUAAAGCGCGCGUAGGCGGCUCGCCAAGCGGGAUCUCAAACCUGAGGGCUCAACCCCCGAGCAGGAUCCCGGACUGGCGGGCUCGAGUUCGGUAGGGGAAGGCGGAACUCCCAGUGUAGCGGUGAAAUGCGCAGAUAUUGGGAGGAACACCGAUGGCGAAGGCAGCCUUCUGGGCCGUAACUGACGCUGAGGUGCGAAAGCUAGGGGAGCGAACAGGAUUAGAUACCC
Molecule: ribosomal RNA, 415 nt
Filed under: uncultured bacterium
Lineage: Bacteria
Description: bacterial SSU rRNA
Rfam family: Bacterial small subunit ribosomal RNA
Source: RNAcentral